Molecule: microRNA precursor, 58 nt
Filed under: Triops cancriformis
Lineage: Eukaryota; Metazoa; Arthropoda; Branchiopoda; Notostraca; Triopsidae
Description: microRNA tcf-mir-10354 precursor
Source: miRBase by way of RNAcentral
UGCAAUGGGUCGCACUGAGACUGAGGCAUGCCUCCCUCAGUGUUCGAGCUUUUGUCUU